UGGAUUAUGAAGAUUGAAGCUGAAGUUGAAUGAAUUUGAGGAGAAAGUUGAACGAGCUUGAAGCUGAUUGAAAGUGUGAGGUUGAAGACAAUGAGAUAACUGAAACUCAAUUGAACAAUUCUAAAGUUGAACGAUGCUGAAAUGAAGGAUUUUUGAGAAACUGAAUCGAAGCUUUGUUGAAACUAAGAGUUGAACGAUUCUGAAGUUGAACAAUUCUGAAGUUGAACGAUGCUGAAAUGAAGGAUUUCUGAGAAACUGAAUUGAAGAAUCGAACGAUUUGUGAAUGGAAGCCAAAUUUGUGAGUGCAAAGAAGAGGGAACAAGGAAAUUGGAGCGCGUAAUAUUCAGAUCUGACGACGACGGUUUAGAGUCAACAAUCGCAAAUUCAUAAAAAUAACAUACCGACGACGGUUUUAGUAAACCGCCCCUAUCAUUCUGUCGUUAUUUGCAAUUUUUUUUGUAGUG
This 464-nucleotide long non-coding RNA is filed under the name Trifolium pratense (red clover). RNAcentral describes it as "long non-coding RNA (TPRA_LNC000866)". The record is from RNAcentral. Lineage: Eukaryota; Viridiplantae; Streptophyta; Magnoliopsida; Fabales; Fabaceae.